AGAGUUUGAUCAUGGCUCAGGACGAACGCUGGCGGCGUGCUUAACACAUGCAAGUCGAACGGAAAGGCCCUUCGGGGUACUCGAGUGGCGAACGGGUGAGUAACACGUGGGUGAUCUGCCCUGCACUUUGGGAUAAGCCUGGGAAACUGGGUCUAAUACCGAAUAGGACCGCGCGCUUCAUGGUGUGUGGUGGAAAGCUUUUGCGGUGUGGGAUGGGCCCGCGGCCUAUCAGCUUGUUGGUGGGGUAAUGGCCUACCAAGGCGACGACGGGUAGCCGGCCUGAGAGGGUGACCGGCCACACUGGGACUGAGAUACGGCCCAGACUCCUACGGGAGGCAGCAGUGGAGAAUAUUGCACAAUGGGCGCAAGCCUGAUGCAGCGACGCCGCGUGAGGGAUGACGGCCUUCGGGUUGUAAACCUCUCUCACCAGGGACGAAGCGCAAGUGACGGUACCUGGAGAAGAAGCACCGGCCAACUACGUGCCAGCAGCCGCGGUAAUACGUAGGGUGCGAGCGUUGUCCGGAAUUACUGGGCGUAAAGAGCUCGUAGGUGGUUUGUCGCGUUGUUCGUGAAAACUCACAGCUUAACUGUGGGCGUGCGGGCGAUACGGGCAGACUAGAGUACUGCAGGGGAGACUGGAAUUCCUGGUGUAGCGGUGGAAUGCGCAGAUAUCAGGAGGAACACCGGAGGCGAAGGCGGGUCUCUGGGCAGUAACUGACGCUGAGGAGCGAAAGCGUGGGGAGCGAACAGGAUUAGAUACCCUGGUAGUCCAA
RNAcentral lists this ribosomal RNA (773 nucleotides) under uncultured bacterium. RNAcentral's name for it is "bacterial SSU rRNA". It matches the Rfam family "Bacterial small subunit ribosomal RNA", at positions 8 to 798 of the family's 1533-position model. The record is from RNAcentral.